Molecule: ribosomal RNA, 1346 nt
Filed under: uncultured bacterium
Lineage: Bacteria
Description: partial 16S ribosomal RNA
Rfam family: Bacterial small subunit ribosomal RNA
Source: RNAcentral
GACGAACGCUGGCGGCGUGCUUAACACAUGCAAGUCGAACGGAAAGGCCCUGCUUUUGUGGGGUGCUCGAGUGGCGAACGGGUGAGUAACACGUGAGUAACCUGCCCUUGACUUUGGGAUAACUUCAGGAAACUGGGGCUAAUACCGGAUAGGAGCUCCUGCUGCAUGGUGGGGGUUGGAAAGUUUCGGCGGUUGGGGAUGGACUCGCGGCUUAUCAGCUUGUUGGUGGGGUAGUGGCUUACCAAGGCUUUGACGGGUAGCCGGCCUGAGAGGGUGACCGGCCACAUUGGGACUGAGAUACGGCCCAGACUCCUACGGGAGGCAGCAGUGGGGAAUAUUGCACAAUGGGCGGAAGCCUGAUGCAGCAACGCCGCGUGCGGGAUGACGGCCUUCGGGUUGUAAACCGCUUUCGCCUGUGACGAAGAGUGAGUGACGGUAAUGGGUAAAGAAGCACCGGCUAACUACGUGCCAGCAGCCGCGGUGAUACGUAGGGUGCGAGCGUUGUCCGGAUUUAUUGGGCGUAAAGGGCUCGUAGGUGGUUGAUCGCGUCGGAAGUGUAAUCUUGGGGCUUAACCCUGAGCGUGCUUUCGAUACGGGUUGACUUGAGGAAGGUAGGGGAGAAUGGAAUUCCUGGUGGAGCGGUGGAAUGCGCAGAUAUCAGGAGGAACACCAGUGGCGAAGGCGGUUCUCUGGGCCUUUCCUGACGCUGAGGAGCGAAAGCGUGGGGAGCGAACAGGCUUAGAUACCCUGGUAGUCCACGCUGUAAACGGUGGGUACUAGGUGUGGGGUCCAUUCCACGGGUUCCGUGCCGUAGCUAACGCUUUAAGUACCCCGCCUGGGGAGUACGGCCGCAAGGCUAAAACUCAAAGGAAUUGACGGGGCCCCGCACAAGCGGCGGAGCAUGCGGAUUAAUCCGAUGCAACGCGUAGAACCUUACCUGGGUUUGACAUGGAUCGGGAGUGCUCAGAGAUGGGUGUGCCUCUUUUGGGGUCGGUUCACAGGUGGUGCAUGGCUGUCGUCAGCUCGUGUCGUGAGAUGUUGGGUUAAGUCCCGCAACGAGCGCAACCCUUGUUCACUGUUGCCAGCACGUUAUGGUGGGGACUCAGUGGAGACCGCCGGGGUCAACUCGGAGGAAGGUGGGGAUGACGUCAAGUCAUCAUGCCCCUUAUGUCCAGGGCUUCACGCAUGCUACAAUGGCUGGUACAGAGGGUGGCGAGCCUGUGAGGGUGAGCGAAUCUCGGAAAGCCGGUCUCAGUUCGGAUUGGGGUCUGCAACUCGACCUCAUGAAGUCGGAGUCGCUAGUAAUCGCAGAUCAGCAACGCUGCGGUGAAUACGUUCCCGGGGCU